UAGUACAAAGCAGCAAUAUUCGAAACGAAUGUCGUAAAGCAAAUAAGUUAAAAUUUUCAUUAUCAAAUUUUUAACAAUUGCAAUAAGUUUCCACUGGUUUGUAAUAAUAUAAUAGUUUAUACAGAUCCUAGUUUAAGUUAAGUUUGAUAGUUUUAAAGAGAUUUAUCCGUAAUUUAACUUAUUUAGCGUUACCAGUUGAAUGAUUGUUGAUCAAAACUUGACAAAAGUGAAAAACCAUGGAUAGAAAAAUGAAAGGAGAUGGAGCAGUUUAUGAAGAUUUAAAGUCAUUUGCAGUGCCUGAGAGUGAACCACCCCCAAAGAGAAGAAGAACAGCAGAAGAUUUUUUCUCUUUUUGUCAGUUUAUCUUGGAAUAUGAGAAUUAUGAUGCUAUUAAACAAGAGGAACUUCGUCUAAAACCUGCUAGUCCUGUAGGAAGUUCAGGAAGCACAGAAGACAGUUUUUCUUCUGAUAGCAACUGCAGCAACAGUUCCCUAGGAAUCAACAAGCAAACAGAUGUGGAAUCAGGGAAUCUCAGACACCCAUUGCAUUUCUUCAGUGUGUCAUUCCUCUGUACCCUCCAGUGUGUAUUUCCUCCCCCCUUCUAGUGGAGCACAGGAGUUCUUGUCACUUCCAGUUCACAGUCAUUGGAGUGGUGGACCAUGGAGGUUUCCUGCUGAGCAGGAAGAAGACUCUUGGGAUAUGAUAACAUGUUUUUGCAUGAAGCCAUUUGCUGGAAGGCCAAUGAUAGAAUGUUCUCAAUGUUUAACAUGGGUGCACUU
Molecule: unclassified non-coding RNA, 779 nt
Filed under: Limulus polyphemus (Atlantic horseshoe crab)
Lineage: Eukaryota; Metazoa; Arthropoda; Merostomata; Xiphosura; Limulidae
Description: pHD finger protein 13-like, transcript variant X1
Source: RNAcentral